RNAcentral lists this ribosomal RNA (253 nucleotides) under uncultured bacterium. RNAcentral's name for it is "partial 16S ribosomal RNA". It matches the Rfam family "Bacterial small subunit ribosomal RNA", at positions 524 to 776 of the family's 1533-position model. The record is from RNAcentral.
UACGUAGGGGGCAAGCGUUGUCCGGAUUUAUUGGGCGUAAAGAGCGUGUAGGCGGUUUUACAGGUCCGUUGUGAAAACUCGAGGCUCAACCUCGAGACGCCGGUGGAAACCGUAAGGCUAGAGUCCGGAAGAGGAGAGUGGAAUUCCUGGUGUAGCGGUGAAAUGCGCAGAUAUCAGGAAGAACACCCGUGGCGAAGGCGGCUCUCUGGGACGGUACUGACGCUGAGACGCGAAAGCGUGGGGAGCGAACAGG